CACGCACAGUGCUAUCUGUGAGCAGUUCUGUGUUCAUGAGAGUUUGCUACAUGAGAGGCAUAACUCAGCCCAGCCAAUUCAUCAGAAUCAGCAAAUGUGACAGGACAUGAGACACAUGGAAAAGUGGCUGAAGAUGCUGGGAGAAUGGCAGAAAUAUAGGAUGAGCAAGAAGGUCAUGAAAGAAAAGGGCAAGAGGUCCUCUGAACCUAUCCACCAGAUUGACCUGGAGGUGAGCCGGACACUGAGGAAUCACAUAAUAUUUAGGAAAUGAUAUGGCAUCAGGUAAGCCUAUGGGGGCCACAGGGUCCCAGCAGAGAUGAAGUGAACCAGAGGGAUGGAGACUUCCCCAGAGCAAAAACCAGCUUCACCCAGGAGGGAUGACGGAGCUGCCAAGGGCUCUCCUGGCCCAGGGAGGAGCCCGUACCAUGCACUGAGGACCUCCCAGGUUCCAAGCUCUGGGCCAGGCUAGAACAUGUGGGGCCAGAACCCAGAAGGAUCCUGAGGAGACAGAAGGCAGCAAACAAAAUCAUGCACAAUGGUGAAAAGUGCUCUCCCUGACCCAUGGGACCCAUGGUAUGGACCCAUGGGUGGGGGGCAGCAGGAUGGAGGGCUGGUGAACCUCCUCUGGCAACACCGACAGCACCCAAUGCUGGGGGGGGGGGGGACCUGGGGCCCCGGAGACUCCUCUGGCGACACCGACAGCACCCAAUGCUGGGGGCGGGGGCAUUCGGGGCCCCGGAGACUCUCAUCCACAGCUGGUGGAAAUGUGACAUGACACAGCCACUUUGGAAGCCAGUUGGGCAGUCGCUCGCAAAGCUCAGUGGACUCAAACCACACAUCCCCGAAGUGUCACAGACAUUGAACCAACUGAUUUGAAAACUGACAUCCACACUGUAGAAAGUAAAAAGUUCCUUUUCAAAGUUUCCCUUCUUGUUAAAGAAUAAAUCAUAAGUGUUAGAAAUAA
This is a long non-coding RNA of Homo sapiens (human), 964 nucleotides long. Ensembl annotates it as long intergenic non-protein coding RNA 1743. Lineage: Eukaryota; Metazoa; Chordata; Mammalia; Primates; Hominidae. The record is from Ensembl.